RNAcentral lists this long non-coding RNA (346 nucleotides) under Elaeis guineensis (African oil palm). RNAcentral's name for it is "long non-coding RNA (EGUI_LNC027233)". The record is from RNAcentral. Lineage: Eukaryota; Viridiplantae; Streptophyta; Magnoliopsida; Arecales; Arecaceae.
UUUUUCAGAACACAAGCCAGCGAUCUUUCUUUUCCACCUAAAACUAUUUCCAUACCUCAUCUAACCUAGCCAUCCAAACACCCAAAUACCUUCACCAUUCUUUUCCACACCGAUACCAUCCUUCUUCACACCAAAAAUCUCUCUCUUCCUGAUGCCAUCUUCUCUCAUUUUGCUACUGUCAACCAUCUUCCAGUUGCUGCCCAGAAGUCUCCUUAACCCCAGGAUAUCAGCGAGUAAAAGUUCAUGACCGAUUAAAUUUUUCAACGAAAAAUUUCUGAAGUGCUUGUAACAAGUAGUAUUUUUAUUGUUUUAUUUAUUUUUGUACUUCUCCUUUCUAUAAAACAAA